ACGAACGCUGGCGGCAGGCCUAAAACAUGCAAGUCGAACGCUGUAGCAAUACAGAGUGGCGCACGGGUGAGUAACAUGUGGGAAUAUGCCUUUUGGUACGGAACAACAGUUGGAAACGACUGCUAAUACCGUAUGGUCCCUCCGGGGUAAAGAUUUAUCGCCAAAAGAGUAGCCCGCACUGGAUUAGCUAGUUGGUAAGGUAACGGCUUACCAAGGCGACGAUCCAUAGCUGGUCUGAGAGGACGAUCAGCCACACUGGGACUGAGACACGGCCCAGACUCCUACGGGAGGCAGCAGUUAGGAAUAUUGGACAAUGGGGGAAACCCUGAUCCAGCCAUGCCGCGUGAGUGAUGAAGGCCUUCGGGUUGUAAAGCUCUUUAGUCCACGAAUAUAAUGACUGUAGUGGAAGAAUAAGCCCCGGCUAACUUCGU
Molecule: ribosomal RNA, 431 nt
Filed under: uncultured bacterium
Lineage: Bacteria
Description: bacterial SSU rRNA
Rfam family: Bacterial small subunit ribosomal RNA
Source: RNAcentral